Molecule: ribosomal RNA, 254 nt
Filed under: uncultured bacterium
Lineage: Bacteria
Description: partial 16S ribosomal RNA
Rfam family: Bacterial small subunit ribosomal RNA
Source: RNAcentral
UACGUAGGGUGCGAGCGUUGUCCGGAAUUAUUGGGCGUAAAGAGCUCGUAGGCGGUGUGUCGCGUCGGUCGUGAAAACUUGGGGCUUAACCCUGAGCUUGCGGUCGAUACGGGCAUCACUGGAGUUCGGCAGGGGAGACUGGAAUUCCUGGUGUAGCGGUGAAAUGCGCAGAUAUCAGGAGGAACACCGGUGGCGAAGGCGGGUCUCUGGGCUGUCUCUGACGCUGAUGCGCGAAAGCUGGGGGAGCAAACAGG